GUACGAGGCGAAGUUCGCGGAGUUAUCCAGGUUUGCACCUCAUUUGGUGGAGAAUGAGGAACGUAUGACGCAGAUGUUUCUGAGAUGUUUGAAACCCAACAUACGUCAAUAUCUCAUUUCUCAUAAAUUUUCUCUCUAUUCAGAUGUUGUCAACAGGGCUCAAUUAUUAGAGCGAGAUAACGAGUACGGUCAACCAAGGGACCACAACCAGGAUCAUACCGGUGACAGCAGUCAUCAGAACAACGAUAACCAGGGGAGAAAGAAAAAUACGGACAAGAGCGACAACCACUCUGGUGGUAAUCAUGGUCAUG
Molecule: long non-coding RNA, 311 nt
Filed under: Panax ginseng (ginseng)
Lineage: Eukaryota; Viridiplantae; Streptophyta; Magnoliopsida; Apiales; Araliaceae
Description: long non-coding RNA (PGIN_LNC012472)
Source: RNAcentral